This 271-nucleotide ribosomal RNA is filed under the name uncultured bacterium. RNAcentral's name for it is "partial 16S ribosomal RNA". It matches the Rfam family "Bacterial small subunit ribosomal RNA", at positions 82 to 354 of the family's 1533-position model. The record is from RNAcentral.
UCUACGUCGGCGACCGGCGCACGGGUGCGUAACGCGUAUGCAACCUACCCAUUACAGGGGGAUAACACUGAGAAAUCGGUACUAAUACCCCAUAACAUCCAGGGAGGCAUCUUCUUGGGUUGAAAACUCCGGUGGUAAUGGAUGGGCAUGCGUUGUAUUAGUUAGUUGGUGGGGUAACGGCUCACCAAGACAACGAUACAUAGGGGGACUGAGAGGUUAACCCCUCACAUUGGUACUGAGACACGGCCCAAACUCCUACGGAAGGCAGCAG